RNAcentral lists this ribosomal RNA (347 nucleotides) under Digitipes sp. 4 JJ-2012. RNAcentral describes it as "eukaryotic LSU rRNA". It matches the Rfam family "Eukaryotic large subunit ribosomal RNA", at positions 698 to 963 of the family's 3401-position model. The record is from RNAcentral. Lineage: Eukaryota; Metazoa; Arthropoda; Chilopoda; Scolopendromorpha; Scolopendridae.
UUCGCAAAUAUCCACGAAACCCUAAGGCGCAAUGAAAGUGAAGGUCAGGCAUCGCACUGACUGAGGCAGGAUCCGUCCGGGUGAGCGAAGCUCUUCUUCCUUUCGCGGGUUCGUCCCGCGGGGGAGCUCGGCGGCGCACUGCCAGCCCAUCUCGGCCGCUUCCCGUCGGCGAGGUGGAGCUAGAGCGCACACUUGGGACCCGAAAGAUGGUGAACUAUGCUCGGGCAGGACGAAGCCAGAGGAAACUCUGGUGGAGGUCCGUAGCGAUUCUGACGUGCAAAUCGAUCGUCGGACCCGAGUAUAGGGGCGAAAGACUAAUCGAACCGUCUAGUAGCUGGUUCCUUCCG